CGGUGUUAAAAUCGGUUGUAACAAAAGAAUGUGGAAAUGCAAUACAGAUGAUCAUAACUGCUGUCCAGGACUAACUUGCAUGCGCUGGGGUAAAGGAUUGGUGUGUGGGACACUGGAUGACUACAAGAAAAGACCUUGCUUGACAGCAUAUGAAAGCUGCGAAUCUAUGUCCUGUUGUGGCAGUUUAAAAUGCAGGUCCGUAACUUCAGCGUACACAAGAAAAAGAAAGCAAUGCACACUUGCAUAAUCCGAAGAAUUUCCAAGCUUUUAUACUUAAGUAAUUAUAUUAGUUCAUGUUUUUUUA
Long non-coding RNA from Physella acuta, 304 nucleotides. RefSeq lists it as uncharacterized. NCBI's taxonomy places the organism in Eukaryota, Metazoa, Mollusca, Gastropoda, Physidae. The record is from RefSeq and is a predicted model, not a curated record.